RNAcentral lists this ribosomal RNA (433 nucleotides) under uncultured bacterium. RNAcentral's name for it is "partial 16S ribosomal RNA". It matches the Rfam family "Bacterial small subunit ribosomal RNA", at positions 29 to 507 of the family's 1533-position model. The record is from RNAcentral.
AGCGAACGCUGGCGGCAGGCUUAACACAUGCAAGUCGAGCGGACCUUUCGGGGUCAGCGGCGUACGGGUGAGUAACGCGUGGGAACGUUCCUUCCGGUUCGGAAUAACCCUGGGAAACUAGUGCUAAUACCGGAUACGCCCUUAUGGGGGAAGGUUUACUGCCGGAAGAUCGGCCCGCGUCUGAUUAGCUCGUUGGGGGGGUAACGGCCUGCCAAGGCGACGAUCAGUAGCUGGUCUGAGAGGAUGAUCAGCCACACUGGGACUGAGACACGGCCCAGACUCCUACGGGAGGCAGCAGUGGGGAAUAGUGGACAAUGGGCGCAAGCCUGAUCCAGCCAUGCCGCGUGAGUGAUGAAGGCCUUAGGGUUGUAAAGCUCUUUUAUCCGGGACGAUAAUGACGGUACCGGAGGAAUAAGCCCCGGCUAACUUCGUG